GCCCGGGGUGUCUAAUGCUCCAUAUCAUUGAAUGAAAUAUAUAAAAAUAAUUUAUUCGAGAUAAUUUAUUUGAGAAUACAAAGUAGUAUAUCGAAAUAUAUAUUUUUAUAUCGAUAUAUACAUUUUUAUAUCAAAAUUUAUUAAUAAUAUUUUAUUUUUUUUAUUACAAGAUGUUGGGACAUCUGGCUCUCAUCCACCAGCUAUUGAAG
This 209-nucleotide long non-coding RNA is filed under the name Elaeis guineensis (African oil palm). RNAcentral's name for it is "long non-coding RNA (EGUI_LNC007623)". Lineage: Eukaryota; Viridiplantae; Streptophyta; Magnoliopsida; Arecales; Arecaceae. The record is from RNAcentral.